CAGUCGCCGCGGGAAUACGAAGGGGGCUAGCGUUGCUCGGAAUCACUGGGCGUAAAGGGCGCGUAGGCGGCGUUUUAAGUCGGGGGUGAAAGCCUGUGGCUCAACCACAGAAUGGCCUUCGAUACUGGGACGCUUGAGUAUGGUAGAGGUCGGUGGAACUGCGAGUGUAGAGGUGAAAUUCGUAGAUAUCCGCAAGAACACCGGUGGCGAAGGCGGCCGACUGGACCAUUACUGACGCUGAGGCGCGAAAGCGUGGGGAGCAAACAGGAUUAGAUACCCGCGUAGUCCCUGUCUCUUAUAC
This 301-nucleotide ribosomal RNA is filed under the name uncultured bacterium. Its description in RNAcentral is "partial 16S ribosomal RNA". It matches the Rfam family "Bacterial small subunit ribosomal RNA", at positions 509 to 807 of the family's 1533-position model. The record is from RNAcentral.